This 284-nucleotide ribosomal RNA is filed under the name Escherichia coli. RNAcentral describes it as "partial 16S ribosomal RNA". It matches the Rfam family "Bacterial small subunit ribosomal RNA", at positions 1 to 281 of the family's 1533-position model. The record is from RNAcentral. Lineage: Bacteria; Pseudomonadati; Pseudomonadota; Gammaproteobacteria; Enterobacterales; Enterobacteriaceae.
AAAUUGAAGAGUUUGAUCAUGGCUCAGAUUGAACGCUGGCGGCAGGCCUAACACAUGCAAGUCGAACGGUAACAGGAAGCAGCUUGCUGCUUCGCUGACGAGUGGCGGACGGGUGAGUAAUGUCUGGGAAACUGCCUGAUGGAGGGGGAUAACUACUGGAAACGGUAGCUAAUACCGCAUAAUGUCGCAAGACCAAAAAGGGGGACCUUCGGGCCUCUUGCCAUCGGAUGUGCCCAGAUGGGAUUAGCUAGUAGGUGGGGUAACGGCUCACCUAGGCGACGAUC